This 496-nucleotide ribosomal RNA is filed under the name uncultured bacterium. Its description in RNAcentral is "partial 16S ribosomal RNA". It matches the Rfam family "Bacterial small subunit ribosomal RNA", at positions 28 to 506 of the family's 1533-position model. The record is from RNAcentral.
GAUGAACGCUGGCGGCGUGCCUAAUACAUGCAAGUCGAGCGAACAGACGAGGAGCUUGCUCCUCUGACGUUAGCGGCGGACGGGUGAGUAACACGUGGAUAACCUACCUAUAAGACUGGGAUAACUUCGGGAAACCGGAGCUAAUACCGGAUAAUAUAUUGAACCGCAUGGUUCAAUAGUGAAAGACGGUUUUGCUGUCACUUAUAGAUGGAUCCGCGCCGCAUUAGCUAGUUGGUAAGGUAACGGCUUACCAAGGCAACGAUGCGUAGCCGACCUGAGAGGGUGAUCGGCCACACUGGAACUGAGACACGGUCCAGACUCCUACGGGAGGCAGCAGUAGGGAAUCUUCCGCAAUGGGCGAAAGCCUGACAGAGCAACGCCGCGUGAGUGAUGAAGGUCUUCGGAUCGUAAAACUCUGUUAUUAGGGAAGAACAAAUGUGUAAGUAACUAUGCACGUCUUGACGGUACCUAAUCAGAAAGCCACGGCUAACUACGU